Molecule: transfer RNA, 88 nt
Filed under: Bradyrhizobium ivorense
Lineage: Bacteria; Pseudomonadati; Pseudomonadota; Alphaproteobacteria; Hyphomicrobiales; Nitrobacteraceae
Description: Bradyrhizobium sp. CI-1B tRNA-Sec
Source: RNAcentral
GCCCGCGUCGGGAUGGCGACCGGCCGCGCUUCAAGCGCGACGACCGCGAGGGCGGCGACAAGCGCCCGUUCAAGCCGCGCGGCGAGCG